GACGAACGCUGGCGGCGUGCUUAACACAUGCAAGUCGAACGGACAGACCCUGCUCUUGUGGGUUGCUCGUGUGGCGAACGGGUGAGUAUCACGUGUGUAUCCUGCCCUUGUCUGUGUGAUAACUCUUGGAAAAUCGGGCUAUAACCGGAGAUGAGCUCUUGCUGCGUAUGGUGGGUUGGAAAGAGUCGGCGGUUGGGGAUGGACUCGCGGCUUAUCAGCUUGAUUGUCUGGUAGUGGCUUACCAAGGCUUUGACGGAUAGCCGGCCUAAGAGGGUUGACGGCGACAAUGGGACUGCGAUACGGCCCAGUCGCCUAUGGGAGGCAACAGUCGAGAGUCUGGCGGAGUGACCGCGAGCCUGAGGUAGCGACGCCGCGUGCGGAAUGAUCUGCUUCGGGUUGUAAACCGAUGUGGACUGUGACGAAGAGGGAGUGACGGUAACGGGUAAAGAAGCACCGGCUAACUACGUG
RNAcentral lists this ribosomal RNA (468 nucleotides) under uncultured bacterium. RNAcentral describes it as "partial 16S ribosomal RNA". It matches the Rfam family "Bacterial small subunit ribosomal RNA", at positions 28 to 507 of the family's 1533-position model. The record is from RNAcentral.